CAACUCACAGGCACUGUUCCCCCACCUCUCACUGAAAGUGUUGGCGGAAAUCCAGAACUUUGUGCAUCGGUUUCAUGCAAUGAUAAUAACAAUAAGAAGAAGUACGUUGUUCCAGUAGCUGUAUCAGUUGCUGCAUUAUUUGUUAUUAUUGGAGCUGCACUGGCAAUAUGGAGAAGGAGCCUUAAAAGAAGAAAGAAACAAGAAGUAGAAGCUGGUGAGAUAAUG
RNAcentral lists this unclassified non-coding RNA (225 nucleotides) under Hevea brasiliensis (rubber tree). The record is from RNAcentral. Lineage: Eukaryota; Viridiplantae; Streptophyta; Magnoliopsida; Malpighiales; Euphorbiaceae.